ACGCUGGCGGCGUGCCUAAUACAUGCAAGUAGAACGCUGAAGGAGGGGCUUGCUUCUCUGGAUGAGUUGCGAACGGGUGAGUAACGCGUAGGUAACCUGCCUGGUAGCGGGGGAUAACUAUUGGAAACGAUAGCUAAUACCGCAUAAUAGUAGAUGUUGCAUGACAUUUGCUUAAAAGGUGCAAUUGCAUCACUACCAGAUGGACCUGCGUUGUAUUAGCUAGUUGGUGGGGUAACGGCUCACCAAGGCGACGAUACAUAGCCGACCUGAGAGGGUGAUCGGCCACACUGGGACUGAGACACGGCCCAGACUCCUACGGGAGGCAGCAGUAGGGAAUCUUCGGCAAUGGACGGAAGUCUGACCGAGCAACGCCGCGUGAGUGAAGAAGGUUUUCGGAUCGUAAAGCUCUGUUGUAAGAGAAGAACGAGUGUGAGAGUGGAAAGUUCACACUGUGACGGUAUCUUACCAGAAAGGGACGGCUAACUACGUGCCAGCAGCCGCGGUAAUACGUAGGUCCCGAGCGUUGUCCGGAUUUAUUGGGCGUAAAGCGAGCGCAGGCGGUUAGAUAAGUCUGAAGUUAAAGGCUGUGGCUUAACCAUAGUACGCUUUGGAAACUGUUUAACUUGAGUGCAAGAGGGGAGAGUGGAAUUCCAUGUGUAGCGGUGAAAUGCGUAGAUAUAUGGAGGAACACCGGUGGCGAAAGCGGCUCUCUGGCUUGUAACUGACGCUGAGGCUCGAAAGCGUGGGGAGCAAACAGGAUUAGAUACCCUGGUAGUCCACGCCGUAAACGAUGAGUGCUAGGUGUUAGACCCUUUCCGGGGUUUAGUGCCGCAGCUAACGCAUUAAGCACUCCGCCUGGGGAGUACGACCGCAAGGUUGAAACUCAAAGGAAUUGACGGGGGCCCGCACAAGCGGU
This 916-nucleotide ribosomal RNA is filed under the name uncultured bacterium. RNAcentral describes it as "bacterial SSU rRNA". It matches the Rfam family "Bacterial small subunit ribosomal RNA", at positions 33 to 933 of the family's 1533-position model. The record is from RNAcentral.